RNAcentral lists this long non-coding RNA (634 nucleotides) under Homo sapiens (human). RNAcentral describes it as "MEF2C antisense RNA 2". The record is from RNAcentral. Lineage: Eukaryota; Metazoa; Chordata; Mammalia; Primates; Hominidae.
GGGCAUUAAAAAAAUAUGCAAAUCCUGCGCGAAGAGGAGCGGGUGCAUUCCUGGCGCGAUCGCCUUUUAUUGAAGCUUUUAAUUAAAGGGGCCAGUUGGCGAGCCCCUGAAACAACCGCCAAAACCCCCCAAAAGAGAAAAAUAAACGCUGUAGCCUUCGAGAACGGUUGUUUCGGCUCCUGUUCUGUGGGCGGCUGAGGACCGCCGGCUGCCCGGCUCGGAGAAGAACAGGUGGAAAGAAAAGUGAAAACAGCUGAGCUGAGUAAGGAAGACGAAGAACACUGAAAACAGUUACAAGGAAGACACAGUAAGAUGUGAUCUUCUAAAGUGAAAAUUUCCCAAAGUACCAAGGAAAAGGAGAAACUGCAGAAGAGCUUCAAGAACCACAAACACUUGGGUUUUGCAUCUUGCCAGAAAAUCUGCACUGUUGGUAGAAGCCUGGGGUAGGGCUGGCAGGACCUGACUCAGCGGAGAAAAUGCCACCCACAGUCACUGACUCUGCUUCCGCAGUAGCGGAGCUCCCCUGUUUUCUCUGGAGGUUUCCCACAGCCGGGCCAAUACCCAUGUCUCUCAGAUGGGAAACUGGACUUUUGGAAAAUUGAAACUAAAUAAAGUUGUAUAACUUUUAAAAGAA